GAUGAACGCUGGCGGCGUGCCUAAUACAUGCAAGUCGAGCGAACAGACGAGGAGCUUGCUCCUCUGCCGUUAGCGGCGGACGGGUGAGUAACACGUGGAUAACCUUCCUAUUAGACUUGGAUAACUUCGGGAAACCGGAGCUAAUACCGGAUAAUAUAUUGAACCGCAUGGUUCAAUAGUUAAAGACGGUUUUGCUGUCACUUAUAGAUGGUUCCGCGGCGCAUUAGCUAGUUGGUAAGGUAACGGCAUACCAAGGCAACGAUGCGUAUCCGACCUGAGAGGAUGAUCGGCCACACUGGAACUGAGACACGGUCCAGACUCCUACGGGAGGCAGCAGUGGGGAAUAUUGGGAAAUGGGCGAAAGCCUGAUGAAGCAAUGCCGCGUGAGUGAAGAAGGUCUUCGGAUUGUAAAACCCUGUUGUUGGGAAAGAAAAACAGUAGGAGAAAAUAUGGACGUUUUGACGGUACCCAAAGAGAAAGCAACGGCUAACUUCGUG
RNAcentral lists this ribosomal RNA (497 nucleotides) under uncultured bacterium. RNAcentral's name for it is "partial 16S ribosomal RNA". It matches the Rfam family "Bacterial small subunit ribosomal RNA", at positions 28 to 507 of the family's 1533-position model. The record is from RNAcentral.